Molecule: ribosomal RNA, 232 nt
Filed under: Chloroflexota bacterium
Lineage: Bacteria; Bacillati; Chloroflexota
Description: partial 23S ribosomal RNA
Rfam family: Bacterial large subunit ribosomal RNA
Source: RNAcentral
GGGCUGGACGACCCGCUGGUGGAGCGGUUGUGGGGCGACCCGCAGGCCGCGUAGCUAUGGUCGGGCGGGGGAACCGCUGAAUGCAUCUAAGUGGGAAGCCCACUGCAAGACGAGCCUUCUCAUCGUCAGCGGACGAGUAAGGUCCCGGGGAGACGACCCGGAGAAGAGGGGCCAGGUGGACGCCCGGUGACGGGUGGAGCCGAGGCCGCCUCAAGACCGAGGGCUUGCCUGG